UUGGUGGGGUGAGGCGGUCGCGGCCCGCCGUGCGCGGGUCGAGGAAAGUCCGAGCUCCGUAGGGCAGACUGCCAGGUAACGCCUGGGCGUCGAAAGGCGACGGAAAGGGCCACAGAAAGCAAACCGCCCACUUUGGUGGGUAAGGGUGAAAGGGUGGGGUAAGAGCCCACCGCACGUCUGGCAACAGAUGUGGCACGGCAACCCCCAGUUGGAGCAAGGCCAAAUAGGCGGUGAGGCCCGGCCCGGGCCGUCCGAACCGCGGGUAGGCCGCUAGAGGCAGCGGGCGACCGGUGCCCCAGAUAGAUGACCGCCCGAGCGCCAUGAGCGCGCGAACAGGACUCGGCUUACGGCCCCACCAGCCUC
This 363-nucleotide RNase P RNA is filed under the name Gemmatimonadota bacterium. Its description in RNAcentral is "Gemmatimonadetes bacterium RNase P RNA component class A". It matches the Rfam family "Bacterial RNase P class A". From Rfam's summary of the family: Ribonuclease P (RNase P) is a ubiquitous endoribonuclease, found in archaea, bacteria and eukarya as well as chloroplasts and mitochondria. Its best characterised activity is the generation of mature 5'-ends of tRNAs by cleaving the 5'-leader elements of precursor-tRNAs. The record is from RNAcentral. Lineage: Bacteria; Pseudomonadati; Gemmatimonadota.